This 66-nucleotide transfer RNA is filed under the name Cryptobatrachus sp. TNHC-GDC 451. Its description in RNAcentral is "tRNA-Tyr". The record is from RNAcentral. Lineage: Eukaryota; Metazoa; Chordata; Amphibia; Anura; Hemiphractidae.
GGUAAGGUGGCCGAGUAGGUGGUGGGUUGUAGCCCCAUGUACAGGGGUUUAGUCCUCUCUUUAUCA